RNAcentral lists this ribosomal RNA (998 nucleotides) under uncultured bacterium. Its description in RNAcentral is "bacterial SSU rRNA". It matches the Rfam family "Bacterial small subunit ribosomal RNA", at positions 355 to 1375 of the family's 1533-position model. The record is from RNAcentral.
UGGGGAAUAUUGCACAAUGGAGGAAACUCUGAUGCAGCGAUGCCGCGUGAGGGAAGAAGGUUUUAGGAUUGUAAACCUCUGUCUUCAGGGACGAAAAAAGACGGUACCUGAGGAGGAAGCUCCGGCUAACUACGUGCCAGCAGCCGCGGUAAUACGUAGGGAGCGAGCGUUGUCCGGAUUUAUUGGGUUUAAAGGGUGCGUAGGUGGUGAUUUAAGUCAGCGGUGAAAGUUUGUGGCUCAACCAUAAAAUUGCCGUUGAAACUGGGUUACUUGAGUGUGUUUGAGGUAGGCGGAAUGCGUGGUGUAGCGGUGAAAUGCAUAGAUAUCACGAAGAACUCCGAUUGCGAAGGCAGCCUGCUAAGCUGCAACUGACAUUGAGGCUCGAAAGUGUGGGUAUCAAACAGGAUUAGAUACCCUGGUAGUCCACACGGUAAACGAUGAAUACUCGCUGUUUGCGAUAUACUGCAAGCGGCCAAGCGAAAGCGUUAAGUAUUCCACCUGGGGAGUACGCCGGCAACGGUGAAACUCAAAGGAAUUGACGGGGGCCCGCACAAGCGGAGGAACAUGUGGUUUAAUUCGAUGAUACGCGAGGAACCUUACCCGGGCUUAAAUUGCAGAUGAAUUACGGUGAAAGCCGUAAGCCGCAAGGCAUCUGUGAAGGUGCUGCAUGGUUGUCGUCAGCUCGUGCCGUGAGGUGUCGGCUUAAGUGCCAUAACGAGCGCAACCCUUAUCGAUAGUUACUAGCAGGUCAUACUGAGGACUCUAUUGAGACUGCCGUCGUAAGAUGUGAGGAAGGUGGGGAUGACGUCAAAUCAGCACGGCCCUUACGUCCGGGGCUACACACGUGCUACAAUGGCGUAAACAAAGGGAAGCGAAAGAGUGAUCUGGAGCAAACCCCAAAAAUAACGUCUCAGUUCGGAUUGUAGUCUGCAACUCGACUACAUGAAGCUGGAAUCGCUAGUAAUCGCGAAUCAGAAUGUCGCGGUGAAUACGUUCCC